RNAcentral lists this ribosomal RNA (111 nucleotides) under Mucochytrium quahogii. RNAcentral's name for it is "labyrinthulid quahog parasite QPX partial Bacterial large subunit ribosomal RNA". It matches the Rfam family "Bacterial large subunit ribosomal RNA", at positions 737 to 845 of the family's 2925-position model. Lineage: Eukaryota; Bigyra; Thraustochytrida; Thraustochytriidae. The record is from RNAcentral.
UAACCAGGUUGAAGGCGUGAUUGCCUUUUGGAGGACCGAACCCGUAUCUGUUGCAAAAGGUUGGGAUGAGGUAUUAUUAUGGGUGAAAGGCCAAUCAAACCUGGUGAGCUG